AUGUCCCUCCGUGUCACCCGCGUGUCCCGUGUUUGUUUUUGUGUCCUCCUGUCCCUCCCCUGUCCCCGGCGGUGCCACCCCCGCGCCCUCCUCUCUGUCCCGCUGUCCCCUCUCUGUCCCCUCCUCUCCUCCCUGUCCCCACGCCCCUGUCCCUCCCUGUCCCCAAAUUCCGAUGUUACCCGCGUGUCCCCAAAUUCCGAUGUGGCUCCGUGUCACCCUCGUGUCCCGUGUUUGUGUCCCUCCUGUCCCUCCCUGUCCCCAAAUACCGAUGUCCCUCCGUGUCACCCUCCUGUCCCCUCCCCUGUCCCCUCCCUGUCCCUCCCUGUCCCCAAAUUCCGAUGUCCCUCCGUGUCACCCUCCUGUCCCCUCCCUGUCCCCGGCGGUGCCACCUCUGUCCCCACCCCUGUCCCCAAAUUCCGAUUCACCCGCGUGUCACCCGCGUGUCCCGUGUUUGUUUGUGUCCUCCUGUCCCUCCCCUGUCCCUCCCGGUCCCCGCAUUCCGAUGUCACCCGCGUGUCACCCGCGUGUCCCCAAAUUCCGAUGUGGCUCCGUGUCACCCGCGUGUCCCGUGUUUGUUUUUGUGUCCCUCCUGUCCCCUCCCCUGUCCCCGCCUGUCCCCAGCGGUGCCACCCCUGUCCCUCCCUGUCCCCAAAUUCCGAUGUCCCUUCGUGUCACCCUCGCGUCCCGUGUUUGUGUCCCCUCCUCUGUCCCCUCCCUGUCCCUCCCUGUCCCCAAAUUCCGAUGUCACCCCCGUGGCACCCCCGUGGCACCCUCGUGUCCCGUGUUUGUUUGUGUCCCUCCUGUCCCCUCCCCUGUCCCCGCCUGUCCCCGGCGGUGCCAGCCCCGCGCCCUCCCCUCUGUCCCGCUGUCCCCUCUCUGUGUCCCCUCUCUCUGUCCCCUCUCUGCCCCCCUGUCCCCGAUGUCGCCUCCCGCCGCGUCCCGCGGUCCUUUGGCCGCUUUGGCCGCCGCCACGUCGUGUCCGCGCUGCGGGGCCGCGCUGCGGGACCCGGUGCUGCUGCCGUGCGAGCACCGCUGCUGCCGCCGCUGCCUCCUGCCCCCGCUGUCCCCAACAGUGUCCCCAAUGUCCCCCGGGCUGUCCCCGGUGUCCCCAGCGUCCCCCCCGGGCUGGCCCCGCUGUCCCCAGUGUCGCCGUCCCUGCGCCCCGGGCCGCGUCCGCACCGCGGUGGCGCUGGCGGUGGAGGCGCGGAUCGCGCGGAGGCUGGCGGGGGACACGGGAGGGGACACGGGAGGGGACAGCGGGGACAGGACAGGGGACAGCACCGGGACACCGCGGGGACGCCGCAGGACCGGCAGGACCAGGUGACAUUUGGGGAUUUUUGGAGUUUUUUUGGGAUUUUUGGGGGUUUUGGGGACAUGGGGACAGCGGGGACACGGCGGGGGACACGGGAGGGGACACGGGAGGGGACACCGGGGACACCGGGGACAGCACCGGGGACAGCACCGGGACAGCGCGGGGACGCCGCGGGACCGGCAGGACCAGGUGAGAUUUGGGGUUUUUGGAGUUUUUUGGGGAUUUUUUGGGGGUUUCUGGGAGAGAUUUGGGGUUUUGGGGAAAUGGGGACAUCGCUGGGACGGCAGGACCAGGUGAGAUUUGGGUUUUUUUUGGGGAUUUUUGGGGGUUUUGGGGACAUCGGGGACAUCACUGGUACGGCAGGACCAGGUGAGAUUUGGGGAUUUUGGAGGUUUUAUGGGAUUUUUUGGGGGUUUCUGGGGGAGAUUUGGGGUUUUGGGGACAUCGGGGACAUCGCUGGGACGCAGGACCAGGUGAGAUUUGGGGGGUUUGGGUUUUUUUGGGGGGAGAUUUGGGGUUUUUUGGGUGGUUUGGGGGUUUGGGGACAUGGGGACAGCGCGGGGCUGGAAGGACCAGGUGAGAUUUGGGGGUUUUGGGGGAGAAUUUGGGGGUUUUUGGAGAGAUUUUGGGUUUUUUGGGGAGAUUUUGGGUCUCUUUGGGGGACAUUUGGGGUUUCUGGAGGGAGUUUUGGGGGGGAUUCGGAAUUUUUGGGGGGGAAAUUUGGGGCCGUGGGAGGGAGGAUUUGGGGGGAAUUUUUGGGAGGAAUUUGGGAGAUUUUUGGGAGGAAUUUUGAGGAUUUUGGGACGACGUGGGAGAUUUUGGGGGGGGGGAAUUUGGGGGAUUUUUGGGAGGAAUUUGGGCACUUUUGUGCCCCACACGAAUCCAGGGGUGGGGGAGGGGAAAUUUUGGGAUUCCCGCCCCUCCCCCCACCCCUCCCCUCACGUGCCGGUUCCUCCCGCCCCUCCCCCACCCCCGCAGGUGCCCCCGCCCCUCCCCCACCCGGCCGGGUGACAUUUUUGGGGGUUUUGUGA
This is a long non-coding RNA of Taeniopygia guttata (zebra finch), 2343 nucleotides long. NCBI's taxonomy places the organism in Eukaryota, Metazoa, Chordata, Aves, Passeriformes, Estrildidae. The record is from Ensembl.